This 460-nucleotide ribosomal RNA is filed under the name uncultured bacterium. Its description in RNAcentral is "partial 16S ribosomal RNA". It matches the Rfam family "Bacterial small subunit ribosomal RNA", at positions 338 to 795 of the family's 1533-position model. The record is from RNAcentral.
CCUACGGGAGGCAGCAGUGAGGAAUAUUGGUCAAUGGACGAGAGUCUGAACCAGCCAAGUAGCGUGAAGGAUGACUGCCCUAUGGGUUGUAAACUUCUUUUAUAUGGGAAUAAAAUGUUCCACGUGUGGGAUUUUGUAUGUACCAUAUGAAUAAGGAUCGGCUAACUCCGUGCCAGCAGCCGCGGUAAUACGGAGGAUCCGAGCGUUAUCCGGAUUUAUUGGGUUUAAAGGGAGCGUAGGUUGAUUGUUAAGUCAGUUGUGAAAGUUUGCGGCUCAACCGUAAAAUUGCAGUUGAAACUGGCAGUCUGGAGUACAGUAGAGGUGGGCGGAAUUCGUGGGGUAGCGGUGAAAUGCUUAGUUAUCACGAAGAACUCCGAUUGCGAAGGCAGCUCACUGGACUGCAACUGACACGGAGGCUCGAAAGUGUGGGUAUCAAACAGGAUUAGAUACCCCUGUAGUC